UUUUAGUUAGGCCAAACACUGCGAUAGCACAACCUGUCUCUAAUUAGGCAUCAUUGAAUUUUAUGGGUCAAGAAGCUUUAAUGAAGCUCAUCGAUAAUUUCAUAGGUUGUAGUCAUGGUGGGUUGAUACUAUUUUUGGUGUCUUCUGAUAUCCUUCCUGUGAUUUUUAAUUACAAUUAUUUUGUGUUGUUGCAAUGCAGCAGGUUCAUAGUCUGAUGGGGAUGCUUAUAUUUGUUGAUGACACUGAGAUUUAAAUAAAUAUAGAAGAUGAAGACUUUGGUGUCAUAAUUUAAGAAAAAAGCAAGACUAAGAUGAUGGUAGCCAUGCGUAGGUAAAUGAAAAAUCAAAUUUCCCAUCUGAACUGUGGGCAGAUAUCAAGAAUGCUUUGAAUCUUAGAGACGAAAUUAUGAUUGUUCCUCUUAUAUGAACAAGUAUCGCUAACCGGGAUUUCUCUUGCAGGAAAAGAUCAGUACGGAAAACAUGAUUAUCUCACUUCAUCAAGGACAAGGAUACAGGUACGUUCAGGAGAUGAGAGAGGUCUUUCCUUUGGACCCAGGGCAUGUCACUCUCGAAUAAAUCAACUUUGCAACAGCAAGACCUGUUCCCAUUAUGCAAGCCUCCAUGGAGGUUAAUUUCUUGAGUUAGAGAUUUAGUUCGUUGGUAAUUAUCUUACCUUUUACCUGUUUAUACUUUUGAUCCCUUAUUUUUUAUAACUGAUAUGCGUUUGAGAAAAUAUGUAGACCGAAUUUGACAUGGGAGGAGUCCGUUAAGAGAGACCUGAAGGAUUGGAGUAUCACCAAAGAACUAGCUAUGGACAGGGGUGUGUUGAAGCUUGCUAUCCAUGUGCCAGAGCCAUGAGUUGGUCGCGAGAUCUUAUGAGUUUCACCUCUAGCCUACCCCAACUUGUUUGGGACUAAAGGCUUUGUUGUUGUUGUGCAAGAAUAUUAUAAAUGGAUGACAGCUUUUGUCAUGUGGGGAAUUCCCUACCAGAGGCGUGAAGUCCACUUACUACGUGGCUAGGAAUUGGUAAUUGGUUGGAGUAGGACACAAGUCAUAAGAUCCAGUUAGGAUUGGUAACCUGUUGGAUCAGAUCAAGAAUGAUUAUCAAGUUUGGAUUGUUGCAAGAGUAGGUAAUUCAUUAACAUGUUUAGGAAAAAGUCUGUUCUAGUUGGAGUUUCACGUGCAAGGCCAUCCGCUAUAAAUAGAGGCAGCCACGGGUGAUCUAGCCAAGCUAUCAAUAAACAAAUUCUUAGGCCUGAAUCCCCCUUCAAUUUCCUACAUCCAUUACCCUUCCCUAACAACAGCAAGCUAAUAGCACGACAUCAAACCAGCCGGCGGUUCAUUGGCCCGAGAGCACCUCUAUGGCACGGUAUCAACCUAAGGUCCAAGGGCUCUAAUAGUUUUGAAAUGAAUGGACAAAGUGACGGGUUUAGCCGAUGAUGAUGUUUUCUUAAAACUUCUGUUCUUAGUGUUUGUUUACUGAUAUGAACAAUUAUGACUAUGAUUGUUGCACUGCAUGACAUCAUGUAGUAUUGCUGCCUGCUGAUAAUUAAUUUAUGAGAAUAUGGACAACUGUGAUGUGCCUCUUUUCACUAAUAACAGACUUAUAAUGCCUACCAUCUGUAGUUCAUGAGGAGGUAUGUGAGCAAAUGCGCCCUAAUGCUCAUUCAUCGCUCCAACUCCGACCAUGUGUCUAGCUCGUGUUGUCAAGGAGUUCCCCUGCAGCUACCUUGGCAUGCCCUUGUCUAAGGACGCUACGCAAGCAGGACUUGCAAUAUCCUACAUAAGGUGAUUGCCAAACUCCCUAGCUGGAAGGCUAGCAUGCUCACUAGGGGAGGACAGUUGGUGCUCACAAAGACGAUCCUCUUGUGUUUUCCCAUCUACCACAUGUUAUUGCUUGUGAUCCUGGCCUGGCUGAUCAAGGCGAUUGACAAAUGUUGUAGAGCUUUAUCUACAAAAGGACGGAAGCAGUGAUGGGGAGGUCACUGCCUAGUGGCCUGGGACAGAGCUGCUUCAGUUGUUCUUGUGCAAUUAUGCUUGGGUGGUGGAGUCCUAGCCGUGGGGACCUUUAUAAAGCUGGUUAGAGCUGUGAUAGCAGCCCAAAGGCAAGUGUCUGCUUUGAUGCCAAGGUGUCCUUCCCGGCAGAUGGGUUUGGAUGCAGCUGGAGGUGUGCACUGAAUUUAUCCGGGCCGAGGGGUUUCUCGUUUCUCCACUCCAUGGUAUGUACUCCGCUGACUGCAGUGUCUGUUUGAUUGAUUCUCAGUUGUUUUUUACCAUCAAGCCAGUUAGGUAUUCACAGCCUGAAGAUUUGAUUGAUGUGUUUGAUGAAAUAAGUAAAUUGUAUUUGAUAGCAAGAGUUUAAUGAUGAGCUGUUUGGAGCUAGGAUGGGGAAUUCUUGUUGUAGGUUUGUAGCACUUGUUGUGCUGUAGGAGCUAGAACUUCAUUUUAUUUUUGAAAUGUGCACCAGAGAUUAGUUGCAGAUGAUAGGGCAUAGCCAAUGGCACUCCAAGCAUUUUUUUUUCUCCUGUGGUGCACUUCCUACCAGAAGCUUCAGUAAAAAUAAAUUCUCCUGUAUUUUUUCCGAAACGGAAGCAAAAGAUUUGUCUCAUCGAAUUAAUAAAGCAAAAGAUAGUUGCCUAGUUAAUUAGUGAAAAUCCGGGCAAAUACCGAUGCAGAUAGACCACACUCAAUGUAUGAAACCCCACAGCCACACAGGUGGCCCACACAGUUGUGUGCUUAAUAGUUCGUGUGAUUUUGAGUUUUGUACGGACUGAGGAGACGCAUGCUGUAAUUUGUGUGAUCUCACUUCCCUUUUAUUUGUAGAUAUGAUAUAUUUGGUUUUCAUUCUGCUGCCACUUAAUUCAGCGACGGGUUCUAAGCUUAGAUUGCUUGGUUUCAGUUCGUGCAUCCUGGUUUCUAGUGCAGGUCAAGACUUGGGUGGGAGAUGGUUAGCCACUUAGCCACAUGUUUUCUUCUGCAGGAGAGGUGUCAUAAGGUAGGCAUGAUUGGCUUCAUCCAGCCCUAAGUCAAGACAGUAUGAUUGAGACCUCUGUGAUGUGGUUUUUAUCUGUUCUUACUAGAUAAGGAGAAAUUUUUCAUGGGAAUGGUGUAUGAGCGAACACUAAAGACAUCCAAUUGUUGCCCAUAUGUAUGAUAAAAAUAUUGUUAUCUGUGCUACUGCGUAACCUUAUUCAUGACUGUUUUAUUCAGUCCUGACCCAACACAUUAGUAACUA
RNAcentral lists this long non-coding RNA (3234 nucleotides) under Triticum aestivum (bread wheat). RNAcentral describes it as "long non-coding RNA (TAES_LNC004115)". Lineage: Eukaryota; Viridiplantae; Streptophyta; Magnoliopsida; Poales; Poaceae. The record is from RNAcentral.